GAUGAAGAACGUAGCGAAAUGCGAUACGUAAUGUGAAUUGCAGAAUUCAGUGAAUCAUCGAGUCUUUGAACGCACAUUGCGCCCCCUGGUAUUCCGGGGGGCAUGCCUGUCCGAGCGUCAUUGCUGCCCUCAAGCCCGGCUUGUGUGUUGGGUCUCGUCCCCCUUCCCGGGGGGACGGGCCCGAAAGGCAGCGGCGGCACCGCGUCCGGUCCUCGAGCGUAUGGGGCUUUGUCACCCGCUCUGUAGGCCGGCCGGCGCUUGCCGAUCAACCAAAACUUUUUUCCAGGUUGACCUCGGAUCAGGUAGGGAUACCCGCUGAACUUAAGCAUAUCAAUAAGCGGAGGA
Molecule: unclassified non-coding RNA, 345 nt
Filed under: soil metagenome
Description: partial contains 5.8S ribosomal RNA, internal transcribed spacer 2, and large subunit ribosomal RNA
Rfam family: 5.8S ribosomal RNA (bases 1-120)
Source: RNAcentral